Molecule: ribosomal RNA, 468 nt
Filed under: uncultured bacterium
Lineage: Bacteria
Description: partial 16S ribosomal RNA
Rfam family: Bacterial small subunit ribosomal RNA
Source: RNAcentral
GAUGAACGCUGGCGGCGUGCUUAACACAUGCAAGUCGAACGGAAAGGCCCAAGCUUGCUUGGGUACUCGAGUGGCGAACGGGUGAGUAACACGUGGGUGAUCUGCCCUGCACUUCGGGAUAAGCCUGGGAAACUGGGUCUAAUACCGGAUAGGACGAUGGUUUGGAUGCCAUUGUGGAAAGUUUUUUCGGUGUGGGAUGAGCUCGCGGCCUAUCAGCUUGUUGGUGGGGUAAUGGCCUACAAAGGCGUCGACGGGUAGCCGGCCUGAGAGGGUGUACGGCCACAUUGUGACUGAGAUACGGCCCAGACUCCUACGGGAGGCAGCAGUGGGGAAUAUUGCACAAUGGGCGCAAGCCUGAUGCAGCGACGCCGCGUGUGGGAUGACGGCCUUCGGGUUGUAAACUCCUUUCGCUAGGGACGAAGCGUUUUUGUGACGGUACCUGGAGAAGAAGCACCGGCUAACUACGUG